AUACGUAGGUGGCAAGCGUUGUCCGGAAUUAUUGGGCGUAAAGCGCGCGCAGGUGGUUCCUUAAGUCUGAUGUGAAAGCCCCCGGCUCAACCGGGGAGGGUCAUUGGAAACUGGGGAACUUGAGUGCAGAAGAGGAUAGUGGAAUUCCAAGUGUAGCGGUGAAAUGCGUAGAGAUUUGGAGGAACACCAGUGGCGAAGGCGACUGGCUGGUCGGUAACUGCCACUGAGGAGCAAAAGGGUGGGGAGCAAACAGGAUUAGAUGCCCUGGUAGUCCACGCCGUAAACGAUGAGUGCUAAGUGUUGGGGGGUUUCCGCCCCUCAGUGCUGCAGCUAACGCAUUAAGCACUCCGCCUGGGGAGUACGGUAGCAAGACUGAAACUCAAAUGAAUUGACGGGG
Molecule: ribosomal RNA, 397 nt
Filed under: uncultured bacterium
Lineage: Bacteria
Description: partial 16S ribosomal RNA
Rfam family: Bacterial small subunit ribosomal RNA
Source: RNAcentral